GGAAUUCCGGGCGGAUCCGGAGGCUGGGCAGAGGGACGGGAACGGGAACCAGGUCCCGCCCAGGGGACCCCAGGAGGAGAUCAACCAGCACCUGGUGAACCUGUACCGGCUCCUGCUGCGGCUCCAGGUGGGAUGGGGGGGAACAGGGAUGGGGAGGGGG
Long non-coding RNA from Neopelma chrysocephalum (saffron-crested tyrant-manakin), 160 nucleotides. RefSeq lists it as uncharacterized. The transcript has 3 exons. The record is from RefSeq and is a predicted model, not a curated record. NCBI's taxonomy places the organism in Eukaryota, Metazoa, Chordata, Aves, Passeriformes, Pipridae.